This 354-nucleotide ribosomal RNA is filed under the name Triticum aestivum (bread wheat). RNAcentral's name for it is "partial small subunit ribosomal RNA". Lineage: Eukaryota; Viridiplantae; Streptophyta; Magnoliopsida; Poales; Poaceae. The record is from RNAcentral.
AUGGAGAUAGAGUCGGUCAAGUGUGAGUGCUGUGGCCUGAGGGAGGACUGCACCCAGGACUACAUUGCGAGCGUGAGAGCCAGCUUCUACGGCCAGUGGCUGUGCGGGCUGUGCUGCGAGGCCGUGAGGGACGAGGCCGGCAGGAAGAAGGCUCACCCCGGCGUGGAGGAGGCCGUGCGGGCGCACAUGGCGUUCUGCAAGAAGUUCAAGUCCAACCCCGCCGUCCGGGUCGCCGACGGCAUGCGCCAGAUGCUCCGCAGGCGGUCCGGUGACUUGUCCAAGCCGUCGGGCUCCUCCUCCAACAAGUACAGCACUGCGCAGGUCGGAGAUGAUUCAUCCGUGUCGCUAUAUUGA